GACGAACGCUGGCGGCGUGCCUAAUACAUGCAAGUUGAGCGCUGAAGGUUGGUACUUGUACCAACUGGAUGAGCAGCGAACGGGUGAGUAACGCGUGGGGAAUCUGCCUUUGAGCGGGGGACAACAUUUGGAAACGAAUGUUAAUACCGCAUAAAAACUUUAAACACAAGUUCUAAGUUUGAAAGAUGCAAUUGCAUCACUCAAAGAUGAUCCCGCGUUGUAUUAGCUAGUUGGUGAGGUAAAGGCUCACCAAGGCGAUGAUACAUAGCCGACGUGAGGGGGUGAACGGCCACAUUGGGACUGAGACACGGCCCAAACUCCUACGGGAGGCAGCAGUAGGGAAUCUUCGGCAAUGGACGAAAGUCUGACCGAGCAACGCCGCGUGAGUGAAGAAGGUUUUCGGAUCGUAAAACUCUGUUGGUAGAGAAGAACGUUGGUGAGAGUGGAAAGCUCAUCAAGUGACGGUAACUACCCAGAAAGGGACGGCUAACUACGUGCCAGCCGCCGCGUAA
RNAcentral lists this ribosomal RNA (512 nucleotides) under uncultured bacterium. Its description in RNAcentral is "partial 16S ribosomal RNA". It matches the Rfam family "Bacterial small subunit ribosomal RNA", at positions 28 to 522 of the family's 1533-position model. The record is from RNAcentral.